AAAAUCUUGACAUCCUUUGACCGCUCUAGAGAUAGAGUCUUCCCCUUCGGGGGACAAAGUGACAGGUGGUGCAUGGUUGUCGUCAGCUCGUGUCGUGAGAUGUUGGGUUAAGUCCCGCAACGAGCGCAACCCUUAAGCUUAGUUGCCAUCAUUAAGUUGGGCACUCUAAGUUGACUGCCGGUGACAAACCGGAGGAAGGUGGGGAUGACGUCAAAUCAUCAUGCCCCUUAUGAUUUGGGCUACACACGUGCUACAAUGGACAAUACAAAGGGCAGCUAAACCGCGAGGUCAAGCAAAUCCCAUAAAGUUGUUCUCAGUUCGGAUUGUAGUCUGCAACUCGACUACAUGAAGCUGGAAUCGCUAGUAAUCGUAGAUCAGCAUGCUACGGUGAAUACGUUCCCGGGUCUUGUACACACCGAAAAAAAAUGAUGCACG
RNAcentral lists this ribosomal RNA (435 nucleotides) under Staphylococcus sp. enrichment culture clone TTGE_FP_153. RNAcentral's name for it is "bacterial SSU rRNA". It matches the Rfam family "Bacterial small subunit ribosomal RNA", at positions 975 to 1387 of the family's 1533-position model. The record is from RNAcentral. Lineage: Bacteria; Bacillati; Bacillota; Bacilli; Caryophanales; Staphylococcaceae.